CAUAGCAACACUUAUUAUAGCUCUGCCUUUACUCCAAUCAAUUAAUCAGGGAUCUCCUUUUAAUCCAAUUAAUUAAUCCAAUCCAAUUAAUCAGUCAUCUCCAUUGCACUAUUCAUUUCAACGAAUGUCCACUCUUAUUCUGAUGCCCAGCCCCAAUCCCACACUCUCCAAGAGUCCAGUCCAACCACUAUGACAUCAGAAAUGCCUCCAAGUUUUGCAUUCCAUCCAGCCCCUGGGGCUUUACAAACUGAACUUGAACCACAAUGCUACAGUGAUUCUAAGACAUGAGGUUGAAUGCUGAAGGUUGUAUGCAGCCCAACGCCCUGCAGCAAGACACCCAAACACCAAACACCCACCUGCGCUCAGUAGCUGAAACCUGUAUUCGCUCUGUGGAUUUAACAGUCCACAGCAACAGCGAAAAAGUUUGCUUAAACCACCUCAGAGCAACACUAGUAAGUACAGCAGCAGAUUGAAGAAGGGCAGCAGCAUGGUGGUGAGAAAUCUGAAAAUAAACAUAAAGAUGCUGGAAAGGAUUACAGAGGAGAACUGAAUGAUCUCCAAGACUAAAGAUGGAAGUAACCAAGCAAGACAUAAGAGCCUUCCAAGGAAGAUUCUGACAACCAGCUGCCAAGUUACUGGAUGGCACCCUUCAGGAUUCGAGACCAAGCAAAAAGGAUUUUUUUAAUGGACUCCACUCCUCAUGGGUUCUCGACUCCAGCUUUUUUUCUCUCUUCAGUACUAGGAGCUGCCAGAAGCCCUGAUCUGUCUGAGAACCUCCUCUUUUAAGAUUGAAAGAUGGCCAUAAUUUAUCUACUGUAUUCCACAAUCAGUUUUACAGCAAGUACUGUAUUCUAUCUCCAAAACAUAUCUGUAACUCAUGACUAUUCUCAGCCUUCAAUGCCACCAGUACCUCCUAACUGCAUGACCUCAAU
This is a long non-coding RNA of Panthera uncia (snow leopard), 932 nucleotides long. RefSeq lists it as uncharacterized. The record is from RefSeq and is a predicted model, not a curated record. Lineage: Eukaryota; Metazoa; Chordata; Mammalia; Carnivora; Felidae. The transcript has 3 exons.